This 253-nucleotide ribosomal RNA is filed under the name uncultured bacterium. RNAcentral's name for it is "partial 16S ribosomal RNA". It matches the Rfam family "Bacterial small subunit ribosomal RNA", at positions 524 to 776 of the family's 1533-position model. The record is from RNAcentral.
UACGUAGGGUGCAAGCGUUAAUCGGAAUUACUGGGCGUAAAGCGUGCGCAGGCGGUUCUAUAAGACAGAUGUGAAAUCCCCGGGCUCAACCUGGGAACUGCAUUUGUGACUGUAGAGCUGGAGUGCGGCAGAGGGGGAUGGAAUUCCGCGUGUAGCAGUGAAAUGCGUAGAUAUGCGGAGGAACACCGAUGGCGAAGGCAAUCCCCUGGGCCUGCACUGACGCUCAGGCACGAAAGCGUGGGGAGCAAACAGG